UAACCUAGCGGCGGACGGGUGAGUAACACGUAGGCAACCUGCCCACAAGACAGGGAUAACUACCGGAAACGGUAGCUAAUACCCGAUACAUCCUUCUCCUGCAUGGGAAAAGGAGGAAAGACGGAGCAAUCUGUCACUUGUGGAUGGGCCUGCGGCGCAUUAGCUAGUUGGUGGGGUAAAGGCCUACCAAGGCGACGAUGCGUAGCCGACCUGAGAGGGUGAUCGGCCACACUGGGACUGAGACACGGCCCAGACUCCUACGGGAGGCAGCAGUAGGGAAUCUUCCGCAAUGGGCGAAAGCCUGACGGAGCAACGCCGCGUGAGUGAUGAAGGUUUUCGGAUCGUAAAGCUCUGUUGCCAGGGAAGAACGUCUCAUAGAGUAACUGCUAUGAGAGUGACGGUACCUGAGAAGAAAGCCCCGGCUAACUACGUGCCAGCAGCCGCGGUAAUACGUAGGGGGCAAGCGUUGUCCGGAAUUAUUGGGCGUAAAGCGCGCGCAGGCGGCUCUUUAAGUCUGGUGUUUAAUCCCGAGGCUCAACUUCGGGUCGCACUGGAAACUGGAGAGCUUGAGUGCAGAAGAGGAGAGUGGAAUUCCACGUGUAGCGGUGAAAUGCGUAGAG
Molecule: ribosomal RNA, 620 nt
Filed under: Paenibacillus sp. I12B-00733
Lineage: Bacteria; Bacillati; Bacillota; Bacilli; Caryophanales; Paenibacillaceae
Description: bacterial SSU rRNA
Rfam family: Bacterial small subunit ribosomal RNA
Source: RNAcentral